CGCGUAAGUAAUCUGCCCUUUGGUCUGGCAUAACUCCGGGAAACCGGGGCUAAUAGCAGAUGAUAUCGAAAGAUCAAAGCCUUCGGGCGCCAAAGGAUGAGCUUGCGUCCCAUUAGCUUGUUGGCGGGGUAAUGGCCCACCAAGGCGACGAUGGGUAGCUGGUCUGAGAGGAUGAUCAGCCACAUUGGGACUGAGAUACGGCCCAGACUCCUACGGGAGGCAGCAGUGGGGAAUAUUGGACAAUGGGGGCAACCCUGAUCCAGCAAUGCCGCGUGAGUGAUGAAGGCCUUCGGGUUGUAAAGCUCUUUUGCCAGGGACGAUGAUGACGGUACCUGGAGAAUAAGCCCCGGCUAACUUCGUG
This 361-nucleotide ribosomal RNA is filed under the name uncultured Gammaproteobacteria bacterium. RNAcentral's name for it is "bacterial SSU rRNA". It matches the Rfam family "Bacterial small subunit ribosomal RNA", at positions 114 to 507 of the family's 1533-position model. Lineage: Bacteria; Pseudomonadati; Pseudomonadota; Gammaproteobacteria. The record is from RNAcentral.